Molecule: ribosomal RNA, 245 nt
Filed under: uncultured bacterium
Lineage: Bacteria
Description: partial 16S ribosomal RNA
Rfam family: Bacterial small subunit ribosomal RNA
Source: RNAcentral
GACAGAGGGUGCAAACGUUGUUCGGAAUUACUGGGCGUAAAGCGCGUGUAGGCGGCCAUGCAAGUCGGGUGUGAAAGCCCUCGGCUCAACUGAGGAAGUGCACCCGAAACUACGUGGCUGGAGUCCUGGAGAGGAAGGUGGAAUGCUCGGUGUAGAGGUGAAAUUCGUAGAUAUCGAGCGGAACACCGGUGGCGAAGGCGGCCUUCUGGACAGUGACUGACGCUGAGACGCGAAAGCGUGGGGAG